Molecule: non-coding RNA, 113 nt
Organism: Triticum aestivum (bread wheat)
Lineage: Eukaryota; Viridiplantae; Streptophyta; Magnoliopsida; Poales; Poaceae
Source: Rfam
AUUAUACUCCCUCCGUCCGAAAAAGCUUGUCCCUCAAAUGGAUGUAUCUAGCACCAAGUUAGUGGUAGAUAUAUCCAUGAGGGACAAGCUUUUUUGGACGGAGGGAGUUUGAA